ACAUAGCCACUAGCCAACAAAAGUAUUAGAGGUAACACCUGCCCAGUGAGUGAACCACUUUAACGGCCGCGAGAACCAACCGCGCGAAGGUAGCAUAAUCACUUGUCCCCUAAAUAGGGACUAGAAUGAAAGGUUGCAUGAGAAAGAAACUGUCUCCUCCGGCAGGUCGAUGAAACUGAUCUAUCAGUACGAAAGCUGAUAUACAAAAACAGGACAAAAAGACCCUGUGAAACUUUUAAACCUAAUCAAAACCAUCAUUGACCAAGGUUUUUAGUUGGGGCAACUAAGGAGAAACAAAACCUCCAUACACUGCCAAGUCCAACAAGACAAAGCACAACACAAAAAUCUGACCCAGUAUAACUGAUCAAAGAACCAAGCUACUCCAGGG
RNAcentral lists this ribosomal RNA (388 nucleotides) under Uromastyx yemenensis yemenensis. RNAcentral's name for it is "partial 16S ribosomal RNA". It matches the Rfam family "Bacterial large subunit ribosomal RNA", at positions 1813 to 2473 of the family's 2925-position model. Lineage: Eukaryota; Metazoa; Chordata; Lepidosauria; Squamata; Agamidae. The record is from RNAcentral.